RNAcentral lists this ribosomal RNA (497 nucleotides) under uncultured bacterium. RNAcentral describes it as "bacterial SSU rRNA". It matches the Rfam family "Bacterial small subunit ribosomal RNA", at positions 31 to 518 of the family's 1533-position model. The record is from RNAcentral.
GAACGCUAGCUACAGGCUUAACACAUGCAAGUCGAGGGGCGAGCAUGAGCUUAGCUUGCUAAGCUGAUGGCGACCGGCGCACGGGUGAGUAACGCGUAUCCAACCUCCCCUUAGUAGGGCAUAGCCCGGUGAAAUCGGAUUAAUACCCUAUGUUCUUCACAGCGGACAUCUAACGUGAAGCAAAGGUUCACCGCUAAGGGAUGGGGAUGCGUCUGAUUAGGUAGUCGGCGGGGUAACGGCCCACCGAGCCAUCGAUCAGUAGGGGUUCUGAGAGGAAGGUCCCCCACAUUGGUACUGAGACACGGACCAAACUCCUACGGGAGGCAGCAGUGAGGAAUAUUGGUCAAUGGGCGCGAGCCUGAACCAGCCAAGUAGCGUGCAAGGAUGACUGCCCUAUGGGUUGUAAACUGCUUUUAUGCGGGAAUAAAGUCAGGUACGUGUACCUGUUUGUAUGUACCGCAUGAAUAAGGACCGGCUAAUUCCGUGCCAGCCGCCGC